CCUACGGGAGGCAGCAGUGGGGAAUUUUGGACAAUGGGCGCAAGCCUGAUCCAGCAAUGCCGCGUGGGUGAAGAAGGCCUUCGGGUUGUAAAGCUCUUUUGUCAGGGAAGAAACGGCUGAGGUUAAUACCUUCGGCUAAUGACGGUACCUGAAGAAUAAGCACCGGCUAACUACGUGCCAGCAGCCGCGGUAAUACGUAGGGUGCAAGCGUUAAUCGGAAUUACUGGGCGUAAAGCGUGCGCAGGCGGUUUUGUAAGUCUGACGUGAAAUCCCCGGGCUCAACCUGGGAAUUGCGUUGGAGACUGCAAGGCUGGAGUCUGGCAGAGGGGGGUAGAAUUCCACGUGUAGCAGUGAAAUGCGUAGAGAUGUGGAGGAACACCGAUGGCGAAGGCAGCCCCCUGGGUCAAGACUGACGCUCAUGCACGAAAGCGUGGGGAGCAAACAGGAUUAGAUACCCUGGUAGUCCACGCCCUAAACGAUGUCUACUAGUUGUCGGGUCUUAAUUGACUUGGUAACGCAGCUAACGCGUGAAGUAGACCGCCUGGGGAUACGGUCGCAAGAUUAAAACUCAAAUGAAUUGACGG
RNAcentral lists this ribosomal RNA (584 nucleotides) under uncultured bacterium. RNAcentral describes it as "bacterial SSU rRNA". It matches the Rfam family "Bacterial small subunit ribosomal RNA", at positions 338 to 916 of the family's 1533-position model. The record is from RNAcentral.